RNAcentral lists this ribosomal RNA (481 nucleotides) under uncultured bacterium. RNAcentral's name for it is "SSU rRNA". It matches the Rfam family "Bacterial small subunit ribosomal RNA", at positions 26 to 517 of the family's 1533-position model. The record is from RNAcentral.
AGGACGAACGCUGGCGGCGUGCCUAACACAUGCAAGUCGAACGCGCUCCAUUCGGUAGCAAUACUGAUGAAGAGCGAGUGGCGAACGGGUGAGUAGCACGUGAGCAACCUGCCCCGAAGACUGGGACAACACCGGGAAACCGGUGCUAAUACCGGAUAUCCCUAUUGGAUCGCAUGAUCCGAUAAGGAAAUGUUUUUCGCUUCGGGAGGGGCUCGCGGCCUAUCAGCUAGUUGGUGGGGUAACGGCCCACCAAGGCAUCGACGGGUAGCUGGUCUGAGAGGACGAUCAGCCACACUGGGACUGAGACACGGCCCAGACUCCUACGGGAGGCAGCAGUGGGGAAUCUUGCGCAAUGGGCGAAAGCCUGACGCAGCAACGCCGCGUGGAGGACGAAGGCUUUCUGAGUUGUAAACUCCUUUCAGCAGGGACGAUUGUGACGGUACCUGCAGAAGAGCACCGGCCAACUACGCGCCAGCAGCCG